RNAcentral lists this ribosomal RNA (626 nucleotides) under Leptolyngbya sp. MGCY489. RNAcentral describes it as "bacterial SSU rRNA". It matches the Rfam family "Bacterial small subunit ribosomal RNA", at positions 117 to 774 of the family's 1533-position model. Lineage: Bacteria; Bacillati; Cyanobacteriota; Cyanophyceae; Leptolyngbyales; Leptolyngbyaceae. The record is from RNAcentral.
GUGAGAACAUGCCUUUAGAUUGGGGACAACAGUUGGAAACGACUGCUAAUACCGAAUGUGCCUUAGGGUGAAAGAUUUAUUAGUCUAGAGAUUGGCUCGCGUCAGAUUAGCUAGUUGGAGUGGUAACGGCACACCAAGGCGACGAUCUGUACUUGGUCUGAGAGGAUGACCAGGCACACUGGAACUGAGACACGGUCCAGACUCCUACGGGAGGCAGCAGUGGGGAAUUUUCCGCAAUGGGCGAAAGCCUGACGGAGCAAUACCGCGUGAGGGAGGACGGCUUUUGGGUUGUAAACCUCUUUUAUCAGGGAAGAAUCGAUGACGGUACCUGAUGAAUCAGCAUCGGCUAACUCCGUGCCAGCAGCCGCGGUAAUACGGAGGAUGCAAGCGUUAUCCGGAAUUAUUGGGCGUAAAGCGUCCGUAGGUGGUUUAUCAAGUCUGCUGUCAAAGCGUGCGGCUUAACCGCAUAAGGGCCCGUGGAAACUGAUGAACUAGAGUGCGAUAGGGGUAACCAGGAAUUCCCAGUGUAGCGGUGAAAUGCGUAGAUAUUGGGAAGAACACCAGCGGCGAAAGCGUGUUACUGGGUCUGCACUGACACUGAGGGACGAAAGCUAGGGGAGCGAAAG